This is a non-coding RNA of Vicia faba (fava bean), 321 nucleotides long. Lineage: Eukaryota; Viridiplantae; Streptophyta; Magnoliopsida; Fabales; Fabaceae. The record is from the annotation of a GenBank genome assembly.
AUGAUGAAGGAUCCCGAGGAAUUUCAGAGAGACGGAGUCGAAAGAAAUUACGUUGCCAUUAGACUUGAGUUCAACCACAUGCCACUUGCCAAACGAUGCUUCAGAGCAGUGGGAAUUGGAAGGCUAUCUGUAGUUGAGGUUCUUGGUAGAAAAGGUUCAAUGUUGCAGGUUAGCAGGCGUGUCACGACAAAUGGGCAGGUUGGUCUAGCUGUAAGUAUGUGGUGGAAAGGCAUAACAGUUAUCUUAGUCUUGUUGCAGCACGGGCUGUUUCAGUUUGGUGAUUAUGUAUGGACAAGGUUUGGAGUCUUAGGCAUAACAUGA